CCUAGGAGGAGUCCCCAGGAGGUCUGUGGGUUUGCAGGUGGCAAGGGCGGCUUCCGAUGGCAGUCCCCCGGGCCUGGCGCACACCCUAGUGUGAUUUAUGAAAAAUACUCGUGGUGUACACAGACACACACGGAUGCGGAACUGAAAUCACCAUUUCCUGACUUCCUUGCGGACACUCAGUAAGAUCUGUGAGAAGAGAUUCCAUGUGGCUUGAGGCCCUCCUGUGAGCUGAGUCAUGCUAAGGGAAGAGUGGCUGGACACAGAGAGCUGCUCGGCUCAGUCUGGUGCCAGGGUGCCCAGGGCUGCUCUCUCUUGCUUGGAGUAUAUUCAGCGAACAAGAAAUAUGCUAGGAGAAUUGGGAGCCAUAAGGGGAGAACGAAACAUUUAAAUGGACUCAAGGAUGGCACUGCAGAGGCAAAAGCAACCUCCAAAACACUGAAUCAAUAUUUGGAUAAAGAAGAAAAAAAAAUCUUCUUACCAACUUCAAACAGUUUGGUGGCAUUAAACUCCUCACUUCCCGCAAGCAGACUCACUUCAGUGGCAGCUGUCCUAAAGGUGUCUUCAAUUCCUAAACACAGACAGGAGCUCAUUUUUCCCCAGUUAUGUGGAAAAAGUUACACCCCUCCCCUGGCAAAUAAAAAACCAAAUACA
Long non-coding RNA from Manis pentadactyla (Chinese pangolin), 651 nucleotides. RefSeq lists it as uncharacterized. The record is from RefSeq and is a predicted model, not a curated record. NCBI's taxonomy places the organism in Eukaryota, Metazoa, Chordata, Mammalia, Pholidota, Manidae. The transcript is spliced from 2 exons.